UCAAGACGGUUGCCCAGGGUGGCCCCUCCUGCUCCCCUUGGGAACACAGUGUAUUUGGACUCAGCAGCCAGGGAAACUGCACUGCCAGCCAGGCAGCAAACUCAGCUGAGGAAAAUUAGUCCUCAUCAGGCAACAGACCCCACUUAGAAACAGAACUGGCACGUCGAAUGACUUGAGCCUGCCGCCUGUCGGGGGAUUUACCAUCCACCUGAUCCAGCUCGUGAAAUAAUUUCCCUGAUUCAGCUUUCAAGUCCCAGCCUGCCCUCGUCCCAUCUUGUCCCACAUCCAGACGAGCCAUGAGAAAGCCCUGGCUCUCCCUCCCCUGGUGCCAGGGAGAAGUUCUAAGCCUGCAGCUCUGCGUGUGGGAAUCUUCAGCCCAGCUCCACCCCUAAGUGCAAUAAAACCCAAAGCCAGUUGCCCCGGCUUGCUCUCUCAAGCCAUCUUUGGACCUGCCUGAGAGUCUGCCCCGCUCCCUCCAGAAAGCCUCAUCCUGUGACUAACGAAUCUCUGCACCCUUUCUUGGUGCCUGUGUGGGGGAGGGGAGCGGGUGGAUGUCACCCUGCUGUGCCAUCGUAAGACAGAAAUUCUUGAGAUCAGGCAGACCUCCUCAAAAGUCAACAGGCAUAACUGAGGGAAGUUCAGACACUCAGUCAAGACCUGUGAUUCGGCUCCUGGUUAGAAGAUAAAUGGAAUGAACUAGAAGCUCGCUAAUUUCACAACUUCUACACCCAUCACUACAUCACUACGUUAAAUUCCCACCAUUUACUCUUGACAGUCCUGCUAACAUAUAUCAAAAAAAGGAAUUCAAACAAGAAAAAUGCUGUCUGUGCGCAGAUGACUUAUUCUAUUAGCACUACUUGAGCAUGAAAUAAAUGGAAGCUCCUGAGAUAGCUAACUCUAAAGAGGAAAACGAGUAAAAUAUUAUUUCAUUAAAAAAAUAGAAUAAUUUACCACUAUCCAAAUAUCAUAAUUACGGUGACUGAAUUAAAUGGAAGAGUGCUUACUUUGUUAGACUGGACAUUACAUUGCAAAUAUUCAACCUGUUUUGACUUAGAGGGCUGUCAGUUUCAUGGGGUUCAAACUUAAAGUUUGUGGAAAAAGCGGGACGCUGCAGUCUUCACUGUCAUUGCAGUGGGAAACUGUGAUGUGAUUUUACGUAUGUUUGUGAACAAAGGCGGGAGAGGAAAUAGCAAAAUGGAGAUGUCAACUGUUUGGUUCAAUAGUAGUUGGAAUUUUUCCUCAGAAAAAGUGUCUGUUCCUUUAUUGUAUAUUAUUCUCCAUUUAAAAAAGAUGUAUUCAUUAUAUAACUGCCAUUUGGAAAAGGAUUAACAUGCCACUUUGUAUCCCAUUUAUGUGGGCUGCAUGGGUUAUUGAGUGCUUUCCCUGCUCAAAUCCUUUUGGCAUUAGGAGGUAGAGAGAAAACUCUUAAAGUUUGUAAUUCACCAUCGACAUGAGGUCAGCGAGCAGAGAACGCAGCUGAGAGAGUUGAAUGUCCAUGAGGAAUAAUAAAAUGUGUAUCUGGUGACCUCAUUGACGGAUUGUGCUAGAAACUGGCUUAGAUGCUCAGCGACACUUUUCUCUUUCUGGCCUCCCGGGAGGACAGCAUAGCCCAGACUCCCAUGUGUUUAACUUGGAUCAUGCAAAUAACUUGUUGCCGUUGGAAAAUGAGAAGUAACUGUGAAAUCGUGUCUUCGUCAGGCUUCCUCACGUGGGCUCCUUCCUGGGGAGGGGGGCUUCUUGUUCCUCAGGGGUUCCAGUUUUCCCACCUCCCCUGGAUUUAGUCCUCUGUUGGGGUUGCAGGCUCACAUGAUGGCCAGACAGUGUCUUCAUUAGGGUGGGAUUUAGUGACCCUGAACCACUGGCCGUCAGGCUGGUCGUCUCCUGUUCACACAUUUGGGCCUGGGUCUGGCUGCCAUCAUGGCCAGAAGGGAGGCAGGGGCAGGUGCUGCCCUGGUUCCUGAGACUAAGACAUGGAUAACAGCCUGUCAGCUUACGUCACAAUCUUGAAAACAUGUUGACUACACUCUCCACUUUUGCCUGAGGGUGAUACCAACCCUGAUAUCAGUUUCCUCACAUUAAACCCAGCAUACAUGGAGUUAAAACCAAAACCCUCAUUCCCUGCUUACUCCCUGGCUUCCUGGCUCCAGAAUCCACUAUCUUCCAUGGAGACAGACACCGUCAAGGACAAGCACCUGGAUUCAUUAUCUCCUCCCCACAAAGAGAUACAGGCUGGUGGGAAAGUUGCUGACCAGCAAGGUCAUGGGCUCCCUCCUCUCUGCAAGUGUCUCAAGGCCAAAGACAGGCUGGUAGGAAAGUUCUGACCAGCAAGGCUAUACACUCCCUCUCCCCUACCUAAAACCCCAAAUAAAAACCCUUCCCGGACAUGGCACCGCUCGUCAGGCCACGUUGAAGUGGCAUCCCAUAUCCCACAACUAGAAGGACCUGCAACUAAGAUACACAACUGUGUGUGUGUGGGGGCGGG
This is a long non-coding RNA of Equus asinus (donkey), 2482 nucleotides long. The record is from Ensembl. NCBI's taxonomy places the organism in Eukaryota, Metazoa, Chordata, Mammalia, Perissodactyla, Equidae.